GCUUCCGAGGAGCGUUGCGACGGGCUGAAAAACGCCCGCCAGGCUCGGCAGCCUUCAAUCCGGACGGUUCGAAGGCAUCGUAAAAAGCCCGCUGAGCCACCGCAUCGAACGGCGCUCACGUCAA
This 124-nucleotide non-coding RNA is filed under the name unidentified. RNAcentral's name for it is "Candidatus Burkholderia SAH sequence". It matches the Rfam family "SAH (S-adenosyl-L-homocysteine) riboswitch aptamer". The record is from RNAcentral.